Molecule: ribosomal RNA, 253 nt
Filed under: uncultured bacterium
Lineage: Bacteria
Description: partial 16S ribosomal RNA
Rfam family: Bacterial small subunit ribosomal RNA
Source: RNAcentral
UACGUAGGGUGCAAGCGUUAAUCGGAAUUACUGGGCGUAAAGCGUGCGCAGGCGGUUUUGUAAGCCAGAUGUGAAAGCCCCGGGCUUAACCUGGGAACUGCAUUUGUGACUGCAUGGCUGGAGUGCGGCAGAGGGGGAUGGAAUUCCGCGUGUAGCAGUGAAAUGCGUAGAUAUGCGGAGGAACACCGAUGGCGAAGGCAGCCUCCUGGGCCAGCACUGACGCUCAUGCACGAAAGCGUGGGGAGCAAACAGG